GACGAACGCUGGCGGCGCGCCUAACACAUGCAAGUCGAACGAGCGAGAGAGAGCUUGCUUUCUCGAGCGAGUGGCGAACGGGUGAGUAACGCGUGAGGAACCUGCCUCAAAGAGGGGGACAACAGUUGGAAACGACUGCUAAUACCGCAUAAGCCCACGGGUCGGCAUCGACCAGAGGGAAAAGGAGCAAUCCGCUUUGAGAUGGCCUCGCGUCCGAUUAGCUAGUUGGUGAGGUAACGGCCCACCAAGGCAACGAUCGGUAGCCGGACUGAGAGGUUGAACGGCCACAUUGGGACUGAGACACGGCCCAGACUCCUACGGGAGGCAGCAGUGGGGAAUAUUGCACAAUGGGGGAAACCCUGAUGCAGCGACGCCGCGUGGAGGAAGAAGGUCUUCGGAUUGUAAACUCCUGUUGUUGGGGAAGAUAAUGACGGUACCCAACAAGGAAGUGACGGCUAACUACGUGC
RNAcentral lists this ribosomal RNA (467 nucleotides) under uncultured bacterium. RNAcentral's name for it is "partial 16S ribosomal RNA". It matches the Rfam family "Bacterial small subunit ribosomal RNA", at positions 28 to 508 of the family's 1533-position model. The record is from RNAcentral.